RNAcentral lists this long non-coding RNA (374 nucleotides) under Pan troglodytes (chimpanzee). RNAcentral describes it as "long non-coding RNA NONPTRT002338". Lineage: Eukaryota; Metazoa; Chordata; Mammalia; Primates; Hominidae. The record is from RNAcentral.
UGGCUCUGGCCAGAGCCUCUCCAAACCCUGGCUGACUGCACUGUGUGUGUUGUUGGCUUCCAGGGUCCAGUUCUUUCGGACUCAACCUUCAGGGACCACCAGGCCCACCUGGCCCCCAGGGACCCAAAGGUGACAAAGGUGAUCCAGGUGUUCCAGGGGCUCUUGGCAUUCCUAGUGGUCCUUCUGAAGGGGGAUCAUCAAGUACCAUGUACGUGUCAGGCCCGCCAGGGCCCCCUGGGCCCCCUGGGCCUCCGGGCUCUAUCAGCAGCUCUGGCCAGGAGAUUCAGCAGUACAUCUCUGAGUACAUGCAGAGUGACAGUAUUAGAUCUUACCUAUCCGGAGUUCAGGGUCCCCCAGGCCCACCUGGUCCCCCA